CUCAAACCUUAUCUGUCCUCCAAGAUCAGCAUCCAGGUUACUGACUGUUCAUUCCCACUGGGCAAAGCUUAUUCUAGACCCUGUGCAUUCCUUCCUCCCUUCUUCUCUGGAGCAGCAAGUGUGAUCUUUCUCUGGACUGGAGCAGGAUGAUUCAAGACUCUGGCAUGGGUUGGGAGUGGACAUGGAUACAGCAGACAUAAUGUGAGACUCCUCUAGUGUAGCUAAUGUGGCCAUGAAGCACGUUCUUAAAUUACCUGCACAUAAACAAGGAAGAAAUCCAGCCAGGAAGUGAUAGCCCAAGGCAUGGAGGAAGCCAAGUCAGCUAGAGCUGGUGCAGCUGCCCACCUUACAGCUUGCAGACUCUGUGCUGACCCAUGCCUGUGUAUGCGGCUUUGGCCUAUUCAUCCUCUCCUUAGGACUCCCUGGCCAUGCAUAUCAGCAACUGCAAUUACACUCCUGGUCUGGCCGCUCUGCACAUUCCCUGCCUGGGUGCCAACGCUGGGCCUAGUCAAGCAGGGAGGAGAUGAAAGGAGGUCAUGUGUGGGCACGCAUGCCCAGUCUAUGCCAUAGAUGUUUGCCCUGCCUGCUGGAAACAGGCCUUUCCAGUGCAGCCUGCAGUAAAUAAGCCUCCAGCUCCACUGGGCACUGUGAUUCCCUCUCCUCCCACUGCCAUUGGCAAAAACCAACAGAGUUUUAAAAAAUGGACAUUUCUCUCCUUUCUGAAAAAACACUGCGCUGGUUUAAAUAAUUCAAAAGAAAAGACAUUCCUUCCUCUUUUUCUCCAAAAGCCCACAUGUUCCCUAAAAUCAGAGGCUUAGCUCUUAAGGUCAGUUGGUAAAAUAAAGCGGGGGGGGGGCGCAGUGACAGUUAAUGUGAGCCCACAUGACGUAGGCUGUGUGACAAGACAGCAUGGUGGCAGGCCACAUGCCAAGGCAACAUGGCAGUGCUCCAGAACAAAACAGAAAAACCAGAGAGAAAGCCAUUUACAAACUGGGGUGGGUGGAGACCAGGCUAAUUUCCAAGAAGGGUAACAAAUGUGCAGACAACAAGGCAUACUAAGCUCUAAGUCAUGCACAUCGUGCAGCAAGCUCUCUGGAUACUUAGCUUGUACUGGCAAAGUGAGCAUAGCAGAAAAAAAGUCUCUUGUAGCUGGAAGAAAAACAAAGGCCAUAUAUUCCUUCUCCAUCCCCCAUGUGGUGGGAAAAGCAGCAAAUAGUUCUCUGCACAUCAUGAGAAGAGUCCCCUGA
RNAcentral lists this long non-coding RNA (1247 nucleotides) under Heterocephalus glaber (naked mole-rat). RNAcentral describes it as "lncRNA (ENSHGLG00100049534.1)". The record is from RNAcentral. Lineage: Eukaryota; Metazoa; Chordata; Mammalia; Rodentia; Bathyergidae.